This 467-nucleotide ribosomal RNA is filed under the name uncultured bacterium. Its description in RNAcentral is "partial 16S ribosomal RNA". It matches the Rfam family "Bacterial small subunit ribosomal RNA", at positions 28 to 506 of the family's 1533-position model. The record is from RNAcentral.
GACGAACGCUGGCGGCGUGCUUAACACAUGCAAGUCGAACGGAAAGGCCCUGCUUUUGUGGGGUGCUCGAGUGGUGAACGGGUGAGUAACACGUGAGUAACCUGCCCUUGACUUUGGGAUAACUUCAGGAAACUGGGGCUAAUACCGGAUAGGAGCUCCUGCUGCAUGGUGGGGGUUGGAAAGUUUCGGCGGUUGGGGAUGGACUCGCGGCUUAUCAGCUUGUUGGUGGGGUAGUGGCUUACCAAGGCUUUGACGGGUAGCCGGCCUGAGAGGGUGACCGGCCACAUUGGGACUGAGAUACGGCCCAGACUCCUACGGGAGGCAGCAGUGGGGAAUAUUGCACAAUGGGCGGAAGCCUGAUGCAGCAACGCCGCGUGCGGGAUGACGGCCUUCGGGUUGUAAACCGCUUUCGCCUGUGACGAAGCGUGAGUGACGGUAAUGGGGAAAGAAGCACCGGCUAACUACGU